UACGGGAGGCAGCAGUGGGGAAUAUUGCACAAUGGGCGAAAGCCUGAUGCAGCUAUGCCGCGUGUAUGAAGAAGGCCUUAGGGUUGUAAAGUACUUUCAUCGGGGAGGAAAAAACAAAACUAAUAAUUUUAUUUCUUGACGUUACCCGAAAAAGAAGCACCGGCUAACUCCGUGCCAGCAGCCGCGGUAAUACGGAGGGUGCUAGCGUUAAUCAGAAUUACUGGGCGUAAAGAGCACGUAGGUGGUUUUUUUAAAGUCAGAUGUGAAAUCCCUGGGCUUAACCUAGGAACUGCAUUUUGAAACUGAAAUACUAGAGUAUCGUAGAGGGAGGUAGAAUUCUAGGUGUAGCGGUGAAAUGCGUAGAUAUCUGGAGGAAUACCUGUGGCGAAAGCGGCCUCCUAAACGAAUACUGACACUGAGGGUGCGAAAGCGUGGGGAGCAAACGAGGGAUUAGAUACCCGU
Molecule: ribosomal RNA, 462 nt
Filed under: uncultured bacterium
Lineage: Bacteria
Description: bacterial SSU rRNA
Rfam family: Bacterial small subunit ribosomal RNA
Source: RNAcentral